AAGCCAGCCUAGUCAAGUAGCAACUGCUUGGGUUGAGAUUGAGAAACUGGAAGAACAUACUGAGAUAUCAACACUGUGUUGAGAUACCAGGGCAGCCUAGUCAAGUAGAAAUCGCAAAGGUUGAAACUUGAGAAACCAGCAGAACCUACUGAGAUCUCUACGGCUGAGGUAGAGUUUGAGAUACCAGAGCAGCCUAGUGAAGUAGAAACUGCUGAGGUUGAAAUUGAGAAACCAGCAGAAUCUAUGGCUGAGGUAGAGUUUGAGAAACCAGAGAAAUUAGAUGAACAGACAGUGGCUGAGACAACUGAAUCUAUUCGUGAAGAAACGGAAGAGCCUGCUGCCUUGUUAGAUGUGCCAGACGAUAUGGAAGAAGUGACAACUGAGGAAGAAGUUGACCAUGCUGAAAAUGGGCCACGAACCA
Priapulus caudatus is the source of this 421-nucleotide long non-coding RNA. RefSeq lists it as uncharacterized. The record is from RefSeq and is a predicted model, not a curated record. The transcript is spliced from 2 exons. NCBI's taxonomy places the organism in Eukaryota, Metazoa, Priapulida, Priapulimorpha, Priapulimorphida, Priapulidae.